Molecule: small RNA, 633 nt
Filed under: Pan troglodytes (chimpanzee)
Lineage: Eukaryota; Metazoa; Chordata; Mammalia; Primates; Hominidae
Description: transcribed unitary pseudogene
Source: RNAcentral
CUUUCCUUAGCUGGACAGCCCUUCAUCUCUCUGACUGGUCCAUCUCAGAGGACAAGCCCUGGAGACUCAGUGCCUUUCAACUGUACUGCUGUCCCCUUCAACUCCCAGGACUUCUCCCGGGACUUCAAUGUUACGUGGUUGAAGGACAGUGAUGAACAUCCAGCCUCAGCUCAGCGCCUGGUGCCUGACAAUGGAGGCAAUGACUUCAUCACCAGCAAGGCAUGGGUGACACUGACCCGACAGGAUGUCUCAUCUGAGAUCACCCGUGAAGUCACCCACAGGGCCCUGGCAGAGCCCCUGAAAACAACCAUGAAUCUCUCCCAAGUGCUCUGAGUUGUCCCCACCCUGAAGAUCACCACUGAAACCUCUGGGACCCAUGUACGUGUGCAAGACAGAGUGAAUGUCACCUGCCACGUCCUCCACUUCUAUCCCGCCCACCUGCAACUCACCUGGAUGGAGAACAGGCGCAUGAUCCAGACCCUGGUGUCCCCUCAGGCCACCAGAAAUCCAGAUGGGACAUACUCUCUGGAGCACACGUGGCAGGCAGAGGCCACGCUGCAGGAGCGUGAGUUUGCUUGCUGGGUUCACGAUGAGCAGCCCCCACUCAAGGCCAACGUCACCCUGCAAGCCCAG